RNAcentral lists this microRNA precursor (96 nucleotides) under Petromyzon marinus (sea lamprey). Its description in RNAcentral is "microRNA pma-mir-17c precursor". Its record names the gene pma-mir-17c. Lineage: Eukaryota; Metazoa; Chordata; Hyperoartia; Petromyzontiformes; Petromyzontidae. The record is from miRBase by way of RNAcentral.
GAAUGAGCGCGCGGGGGAAAAGUGCAAAUAGUGGUAGGUAGUGAUCACUGCCGUCUGCCUACUCCAUUUGCAUUUUGGCCUCCGUGCGUCUCGCCG